UACAGAGGGUGCAAGCGUUAAUCGGAAUUACUGGGCGUAAAGCGUGUGUAGGUGGUUUCCUAAGUCAGGUGUGAAAUCCCAGGGCUCAACCCUGGAACUGCAUUUGAUACUGGGAGACUAGAGUGUGGAAGAGGAUGGUGGAAUUCCCGGUGUAGCGGUGAAAUGCUUAGAGAUCGUCCAGAACACCGAUAGCGAAGGCAGCUUACUAAAGAAUAACUGACGCUGAGGCACGAAAGUGUGGGGAUCAAACAGG
RNAcentral lists this ribosomal RNA (253 nucleotides) under uncultured bacterium. Its description in RNAcentral is "partial 16S ribosomal RNA". It matches the Rfam family "Bacterial small subunit ribosomal RNA", at positions 524 to 776 of the family's 1533-position model. The record is from RNAcentral.